UGGGGAAUAUUGCACAAUGGGCGCAAGCCUGAUGCAGCCAUGCCGCGUGUAUGAAGAAGGCCUUCGGGUUGUAAAGUACUUUCAGUCGGGAGGAAGGUGUCAAGGUUAAUAACCUUGGCAAUUGACGUUACCGACAGAAGAAGCACCGGCUAACUCCGUGCCAGCAGCCGCGGUAAUACGGAGGGUGCAAGCGUUAAUCGGAAUUACUGGGCGUAAAGCGCACGCAGGCGGUUGAUUGAGUCAGAUGUGAAAUCCCCAGGCUUAACCCGGGAAUUGCAUCUGAUACUGGACAGCUAGAGUCUUGUAGAGGGGGGUAGAAUUCCAUGUGUAGCGGUGAAAUGCGUAGAGAUGUGGAGGAAUACCGGUGGCGAAGGCGGCCCCCUGGACAAAGACUGACGCUCAGGUGCGAAAGCGUGGGGAGCAAACAGG
Molecule: ribosomal RNA, 429 nt
Filed under: Chloroflexota bacterium
Lineage: Bacteria; Bacillati; Chloroflexota
Description: Chloroflexi bacterium partial 16S ribosomal RNA
Rfam family: Bacterial small subunit ribosomal RNA
Source: RNAcentral